CCCCAGAUCAUGUUCUUGAUGAAAUCACGAUGACCGGGGGCAUCUGAGAGGGAUGUUAGCAUGAUGAUGGCAUGGUGGUGUGAGACAGUGACAACAUACCAAUGACGGUGACAUAGUAGCGAGGAGUCUCGAACUUCCAGAGAGCGAUAUCAAUGGUGAUACCACGCUCACGCUCGGCUUUGAGCUUGUCAAGAACCCAGGCGUACUUGAAGGAACCCUUUCCGAGCUCGGCGGCUUCCUAUUGUCCAGUGGUUAGUGACUGUAAGACAUAGUGCGCGACAGUGUGGUAAGGUUUUGUGGGCACAGGGCAAGCGCAUCCGUCACUCGAGUGGCGGGGUAAGAUACCCCACCAAAAAAAAUCACGGUCGCACCGCAAAAUUUUCGGACUCGAGCGGGGUAAUGAAUGCGUUUCGAAUGAGGGAGCGAGUCGUGGGAAUCGAUGGGAGCGCGCGUAAUCGAAGGGAUAUUGACUAACCUUCUCGAACUUCUCGAUGGUUCGCUUGUCGAUACCACCGCACUGGUAGAUCAAGUGACCGGUCUGUCAAGAGUUAGCAUGAUGUUGUGGUGAUACCCCGCCAAGCUGGCGGGUUCCGAGUGCAGAUAAGCGACUCGCUGAUGGUUGUACUUACAGUGGUCGACUUGCCAGAGUCGACGUGGCCGAUGACGACGACGUUAAGGUGAGUCUUGUCCC
Molecule: unclassified non-coding RNA, 691 nt
Filed under: Fusarium avenaceum
Lineage: Eukaryota; Fungi; Ascomycota; Sordariomycetes; Hypocreales; Nectriaceae
Description: sequence contains 18S rRNA gene, ITS1, 5.8S rRNA gene, ITS2 and 28S rRNA gene
Source: RNAcentral